Molecule: ribosomal RNA, 219 nt
Filed under: uncultured bacterium
Lineage: Bacteria
Description: partial 16S ribosomal RNA
Rfam family: Bacterial small subunit ribosomal RNA
Source: RNAcentral
AACGUCUCAGUUCGGAUUGUAGUCUGCAACUCGACUACAUGAAGCUGGAAUCGCUAGUAAUCGCGAAUCAGAAUGUCGCGGUGAAUACGUUCCCGGGUCUUGUACACACCGCCCGUCACACCAUGGGAGUCGGAAAUGCCCGAAGUCAGUGACCCAACCGUAAGGAGGGAGCUGCCGAAGGUGGAGCCGGUAACUGGGGUGAAGUCGUAACAAGGUACC